RNAcentral lists this ribosomal RNA (250 nucleotides) under uncultured prokaryote. Its description in RNAcentral is "partial 16S ribosomal RNA". It matches the Rfam family "Bacterial small subunit ribosomal RNA", at positions 524 to 773 of the family's 1533-position model. The record is from RNAcentral.
UACAGAGGCCCGUAGCAUUGUCCGGAUUUACUGGGUGUAAAGGGCGUGUAGCCGGGUUGGCAAGUCAGACGUGAAAUCUAUGGGCUUAACUCAUAAACUGCAUUUGAAACUGCUGAUCUUGAGUAUCGGAGAGGCAAUCGGGAUUCCUAGUGUAGCGGUGAAAUGCGUAGAUAUUAGGAGGAACACCAGUGGCGAAGGCGGAUUGCUGGACGACAACUGACGGUGAGGCGCGAAAGCGUGGGGAGCAAAC